ACGCUGGCGGCGUGCCUAAUACAUGCAAGUAGAACGCUGAAGGAGGAGCUUGCUUCUCCGGAUGAGUUGCGAACGGGUGAGUAACGCGUAGGUAACCUGCCUGGUAGCGGGGGAUAACUAUUGGAAACGAUAGCUAAUACAGCAUAAGAGUAGAUGUCGCAUGACAUUUGCUUAAAAGGUGCAAUUGCAUCACUACCAGAUGGACCUGCGUUGUAUUAGCUAGUUGGUGGGGUAACGGCUCACCAAGGCGACGAUACAUAGCCGACCUGAGAGGGUGAUCGGCCACACUGGGACUGAGACACGGCCCAGACUCCUACGGGAGGCAGCAGUAGGGAAUCUUCGGCAAUGGACGGAAGUCUGACCGAGCAACGCCGCGUGAGUGAAGAAGGUUUUCGGAUCGUAAAGCUCUGUUGUAAGAGAAGAACGAGUGUGAGAGUGGAAAGUUCACACUGUGACGGUAUCUUACCAGAAAGGGACGGCUAACUACGUGCCAGCAGCCGCGGUAAUACGUAGGUCCCGAGUGUUGUCCGGAUUUAUUGGGCGUAAAGCGAGCGCAGGCGGUUAGAUAAGUCUGAAGUUAAAGGCUGUGGCUUAACCAUAGUACGCUUUGGAAACUGUUUAACUUGAGUGCAAGAGGGGAGAGUGGAAUUCCAUGUGUAGCGGUGAAAUGCGUAGAUAUAUGGAGGAACACCGGUGGCGAAAGCGGCUCUCUGGCUUGUAACUGACGCUGAGGCUCGAAAGCGUGGGGAGCAAACAGGAUUAGAUACCCCUGGUAGUCCACGCCGUAAACGAUGAGUGCUAGGUGUUAGACCCUUUCCGGGGUUUAGUGCCGCAGCUAACGCAUUAAGCACUCCGCCUGGGGAGUACGACCGCAAGGUUGAAACUCAAAGGAAUUGACGG
Molecule: ribosomal RNA, 900 nt
Filed under: uncultured bacterium
Lineage: Bacteria
Description: bacterial SSU rRNA
Rfam family: Bacterial small subunit ribosomal RNA
Source: RNAcentral